Molecule: ribosomal RNA, 253 nt
Filed under: uncultured bacterium
Lineage: Bacteria
Also listed under: 1 other name
Description: partial 16S ribosomal RNA
Rfam family: Bacterial small subunit ribosomal RNA
Source: RNAcentral
UACAGAGGUCUCAAGCGUUGUUCGGAUUUAUUGGGCGUAAAGGGUGCGCAGGCGGUGUGGUAAGUUUGGUGUGAAAUCCUGGGGCUCAACCCCAGAAAUGCACUGAAUACUGCCAUGCUAGAGGACUGGAGAGGAGAUUGGAAUUCACGGUGUAGCAGUGAAAUGCGUAGAUAUCGUGAGGAAGACCAGUGGCGAAGGCGAAUCUCUGGACAGUUCCUGACGCUCAUGCACGAAGGCUAGGGGAGCAAACGGG